This is a non-coding RNA of Paramormyrops kingsleyae, 854 nucleotides long. The record is from RefSeq and is a predicted model, not a curated record. NCBI's taxonomy places the organism in Eukaryota, Metazoa, Chordata, Actinopteri, Osteoglossiformes, Mormyridae.
UUCUUCCUCUGUCGGACCAGGGGGUACGGAGUGAGAUUGAGCAGACUGCUGUCAUCUGUGUCACAUAGGAGACAAUGCAAGGCAUUAAACCAAGACGGCCAUGAGACGGACACAUCUAACCCAGAUCAGUCACAUUUCUACAGUGCCACGAGAUUCAUGGCCAUCUGAUCAAGUCAUGUGACCUUAUGCGGGCGGGUCCUGUCCGUGGGUGGGUUCUCACAGACUGAUUGCGAGGUUCCCUGAAACGGCUGCUGUUCUAGCGCCACCAGAAGUUUCAACACUGAAUCGCAUGCUUAUUGUUACACAGCAAUUAGCUCGCAUGCUAGAUGAAGGGCACUUUCUACUUUAAUGCAGCACAGCUGACAUGCAGGAGAGAAAACCGUGGUGUGGAACCCCUCCUAAAGUGAAAAAGUGUGUGAGACGCCCACUUCAUUUUCUGUUGCUGUCUCCAGUGAAGAUAAUCCGACUGGUUAAGCGAUGUGUUGCAAAUUUAGUGGGAGCUGCACCGGUUUGUCUGCCCUUGGAUGGAGGUGAGAGUAUUCAUGAAAAUCCUUGCAUUUUAAAUGAAUGUCUUUGCUAAUCUGAUAGGAUGUGCGGCGUCAAAAGCGAGAUUGUGGACAGACGCACGCUGGUCACCCCCCCGCAGGAGCCCGGCUCCGAAAGCACAGCUGUCAGCUGCAAGUCACAGGUCACCAUCUGAUGGAGCCACGACUGGAGACACUCACUGUCCCAUCGACGGACACUGACCAUGAGAAGCGGUCACCAGCCGGGGCUGGAGCCUCUACUUAUAUGCUAGGCAUUCCCAUGGUUUUGCAGAAGGGCUGAUUAAUUUACAUAAAUAAACUAUACAUUUC